GAGGCUUCGAAUCCUACGUUUUGAAAUACCGAGCAGACGUUUAAAAAAAAAUCGUACGUUUGUUAUGUCCUCAAUGAUUUAAAGCAAUGAGUCUAGAAAUUAUAAGUUUAACUAUCGAAGUUGAUAAAGACAACAUGAAGCUUGUUUAGCAAUAAAGCAUUGAUGAUUUUAUGAAGAUUUAAUAAAAGUCUUUUACGAUCGUCUAUGUCAUCGUGUGUAAUGACAGGCAAAUGAAAAGCGAGAUAAAACAUACCACGGGUCGUACCAGAGAUAUACGUAGAGAUAUAAAGAUAGAGUGUGUAAGCAAGCUGAGAAAUACAAACCUCUCAUAUUCUUGUCUAAUAACACAUGCACAUUCGUACAGAAAUUAGACAAGCACAGAGGGAACCCUCUAUACAGCGUUCUCUUUCUAUUCCAAUAUUGCAUCCACUUGCACGGUAACAUAUGACUCCCAUACUCUAUCUUUAUCUUUUUAUGGCCUGUACCUCGCCGGUGAUCGUACCACAGACGACAGAUCAACUGCAUUAUUAACUUUUAAGGAAUCACAAAUAAUCAUAAUAAAAAAUUGCAAGAUUCAUUGCAAGUACAAUUGCAACGAUUACAAGAAAUACCCUCCUUCUCUUUGUUUCCCAAAUCUUUACGAUUUAUCUCCCUCUUUAUUGUUUUAUUUUCUUUAUAUAUACUAGAUAAUUUAUAAGUAAUGCAAAAUUACAAAUUACAUA
This is a long non-coding RNA of Bombus pyrosoma, 722 nucleotides long. RefSeq lists it as uncharacterized. The record is from RefSeq and is a predicted model, not a curated record. Lineage: Eukaryota; Metazoa; Arthropoda; Insecta; Hymenoptera; Apidae. The transcript is spliced from 3 exons.